This 5003-nucleotide long non-coding RNA is filed under the name Brassica napus (rape). RNAcentral's name for it is "long non-coding RNA (BNAP_LNC007119)". Lineage: Eukaryota; Viridiplantae; Streptophyta; Magnoliopsida; Brassicales; Brassicaceae. The record is from RNAcentral.
AAAAAAACAAAAAUUGGUCAUCAACAUAUAAUUAUCUUUUCGUUAUUUAACUAAAAGUAAUUUCAGAGUUAAAUAUGAUUGAUAUGAAAUUGUGGAAAAAUAAAUAACUUUUAGAGACUGGGUUAAGAUAAAGUGUGAAUGAGGUCUGAACACACAAAAAAAUUGUGUGAUGAAUACACAGUUAGUAAAUAAAUCUUCUAAACCUCUAAAAAUUAACAUACCAACUGUCGGCUCGAUGGUGGAACCUACAGACGAACCGGGGAGUUACAAUUUGGUCUUAGAACAUUUCCUGUUGUGUUAGUUUCUUAUUGCUCUCCAUAGUCUUUAUAGGAAAGUUUCUUGAGAACACUAUUACUCAUCAUUUUGAGCAGGGGCGGAUCCAGCGACGUUAUAAGUAUGGGGCACACAUUAUAAAUAAUAUUUACAUUAAGUAUAACUAGGCAAAACCCGCGCUACGCCGCGGAAUAUUAUAACACUAACUGAUUUUUAUAAGUCAUGUUAUUUCAUGCUUAAACGGAACUGACUUCGAAUUAAACUGUUAAUUUUUCCCAAUAAAAAUGAAAACAACACAGUUCGAAUCAUCAGACUUAAAAGCAAGAUGGCUUGUCCAACUUGUAGGGGUGUUCAAUCCGGAUAUCGGUUCGGUUUCGGUUCGGUUUUUUUCGGUUUUCGGUAUUUCGGUUAGUAAAAUAUGACUACCAUUCAAAAUCCAUAUUUACUUCGGUUCGGUUCGGUUUAUAUACCGUCGGUUUUCGGUUUAUUCGGUUUUAUACCAAAAAACAUAAUUAUUUUGUUUGAGAUCAUAUUAUAUGAAUUUUAGAGUCAUAUUCUCAACACAAUCAUUUAUUAAAAAUAUAUUACAUGUUCAAAUAAAUGAACAAAAAAGUAAAAAUGCUUCUACCAUCAAAUAAAAUAAUCAAAUCGAUAACUAAAAUCAAAAUUUGAAAUUUUGAAAAUAAAAAUAUGAAACAAAACAGAAACAUGAAAGAAAAGUUUUUUCACUCUUCUAUAUUUAGUGUUCAUUAAAGUCAUGCUUUUUCAAUUGAAAAUUUUCCAUUAAUUAUUGUCCAUCAAAUUUAUAAUCUUCAUAUUAAUUUAGUAAAGACUAAAAUAAAGCAAAAAUAUCAAAAAAAGACUUAGAAAAUAAGAUGUCUGAAUUGCGAUGUAUUGUUAUUUAGUUAUAUUUCAAAUGUUUUACAAAUUAAGGUUUUUUAUUACUAUAAAAUUAUGGUAAUAGUUAUUAACACAAAUUUAACUUAUGUAACAAAUAGAUUUUCAUGUAUUGUUAUAAAAUAGAUACAUAUUUACAUGUUUCUACUUUUAAUCGGUUUUGUUCGGUUUAUUCGGUUUAAUCGGUUAUAUACCAAACCAUAUCCAAAUCCUACGGUUUUUAUAAAAUUAUAUCCAUUCGGUUUAUAUGGUAUAUACCAAAACCAAACCAUAUUGUCUAUUUCGGUUCGGUUCGGUUCGGUACGGUUCGGUUUUACCAUAUUGAACAGCCCUACCAACUUGCUAAGUAAUCGCAACUUCCUCUCUAUCUUUAGAAAGCAUCUUUCCAAACAUAAUAUAAUCCGUGCUUUAUCCCCUUCGUCUACUUGGCUUUAACUUCAUUUAAUAAUAUAAACUACAUCUUCAAAAAACUCCUAGCAUUAGUGUUUCAAAUGCACUUGGCAGAAGAUUUAUCGGCACUUCUUCUCCUAUCAUCCUCCUACCCUGAAGUGAAGCUUAGCUGAAGUGUUUCUGCUGUAAACAUAAGUGUCUCUUCCUUAAACGAUAUAGAAAAUUUAUAAAUUUUAAAAUGUAAAAACAUUAACAUAUUUUAUAAAUAUUAAUGCACUUGUUUUGACUAUUCGUACACCAUCUUAUACCAGCAAUCAGAUAUGGUCAUCACACAAAUAUCCCUAGCCAAAUCAUCAGUCUGAUUUUUGAUCUUUUUGAAUAAAUAGACAUAAUUUUUUUGCAAAUUUGCAUCAUCUUGAAAUGCAUCAGUGUUUGGUUAGUCCAUUAAUAAUAACAGUGUAUAUAUGACCAAACACUAAAGUUUCACAACGCAUUUAAAAAAAAAACAUAACUGAAAUAGUGAAAAGUUUAACUACUUUACUCAGAGACCUAAAGUAUUUUUUUUUGUAAUCCUCAGAGACCUAACGUUUUUGCCAUAUUCAUUUCAAACAUAAGACAAUAAAAAGAAAGCAGAGCUCGAAAUGUAAUUUGUCUUUGGAGAAGAGAAUUCUUCGAUACCUCCUUAACAUUUUCACAUGUGUCACUGCAUCUUUUCUCUGCAGAUUCUAGAGAAAAAUAAAGUUUCCUUCUCAUGGACAUGGGUCCCGACCACUUGUUGGAACAAUCUAACAUAAACCUUCAGCUUCUUAAUAAUAUAUGUUAUUUGCCCAAUCGUACCCUGUCGCCAAGAAAACAGUAAUAUAAAGAAAAAAGAACAUUUUUAAGUUAAACGGCAAGACAGUUUCUUUGCAAUCAUCUGUAAUAAAAUCUUCCACAAGUUUUGGCCAUCAUCAUCCCAAUCUUACUGCUCGAUGAAGAUAAUUUGAAUGUUUUGUUCGUUGAUCAUUUUUCACCAUGAUGGAUUCACUUCAUUUUAAUCAUCUAUUUUAGAGUAAUUUAAAUCUUUGCAAAAAAGCUUGGUCAUCUUUGUCUUAAACUGAGUCAUUCAUCUUGAUUUUCUUUGACCUUGACUCGAGCCAAUCAUCAUCUCAUUUUUCUUCAUUUUACUCCCGUAUAUCCAUUAGUCUUCUUCUCCAGCUACUCUGACCAAGUCCCCACAACCAACGUUUUACAUAUUAUUCUCUUGUCUAACUCCAAAAGCAUGCAUCAAACAAUUUUCUCUCUGAUAUCACUCCUCCUUUAUAUUCUCAAGUCCUUCGAGGUCCUAGACAUCUUAACAAAUGGUUCCAUGUUAUUAUUUGCUGUUUCCUAUUUGUUCCAUUUAUUUCAUGUUUCCUUAAAAUACCAAAAGAGCAUGAUAUGGAUUGAUGUAUUUUAAGCCUCGUGUUAAUUAAACAUACUCGUGUUGGUAAAUAGACUGUCAUUUUGUUAAGGUUUACACGUGCAUACAGUACCUAAGAACAAUACCUAAGAAUGGUUCAACAACAUAAAACAAAUCAUACACUUAACCAAAUAUCAGUAAAUCAUUAAUAAACUCAUAAUCACCAAAACAAUCAAACACACAAAAGAAACCUAAAAAUAUUACUUACAUACUAAAGAAAAAGACGCAAGAAAAUCACCACAACUCUGAUCUCUUACACCUGAAUGUUUUGAAAUAUUGACAUUCAUGUGUAUACCUAUGAAUGUAAAUGACUAAAAUAUAUUAAUAUACGACCAAUUUAAAAAUAGACAUCACUAACCUUAUUGUAACUCCCGUGAUUUAUGAAUGCAUUUUACAAAAAAAAAUCGAUUUUUCAUGAUAUUUGGAAAAACGCAUGUGAGCAGAUUGCUAUAUCAGGUUGCCGUGCUCACAUUAUAAUCUUCUCUGUUUUGUAUGAUGGGAUGGUUUGGUAGGAAGGCAGAGUGAUGAAUGUUCCUGUGUAGCCAUUUUGUUCCUUUAUCUACAAUCUUCAUCAAAACAAAAGCUUGGUAGGAGAGAAGGAGAAGCAAGCACUACUCUUUAUAACCUGUGAAACUAUGUAACUGGAAAAUUAGAGAACUUCAGGUAUGGACUUAAAGCGAUGACAGUACUAUAAAAAUAAAGAUGGCCUUAUGUAAAAGCCAUCACAAACUAAUAAAGAGUUUAAAAGAACGUGGAAGGUCGUUGUUUGGCCUGAUAGAAAGGAAAAGUUCAAUGAGCCCAAGUCAAAUACACAAAUGUAAAUGUUUGUCUCUCUGAAAUCGAUAUUGACGGGUCUUAAAUUCUCUAGGAAUUCUUUUUUUUUUUUUGAUCAAAGUUUUUCUCUAGGAAUUCAUGUGAAUUGUAUUUCAUUGGUUUAUAUACUAUUUUACUGAACAACGAAUCUAUAUACAUUGUUUAGAAGGAAGAGAAGACAUUAAAGAAUUGAUCAAAGAAAAUUUAGUGUACGUCAAACCAAUACUAUUUCAUUCUAAUCAUUUGUUUGGCAAAUAACAACUACCCAACAAUGAGAACCUAUUAAGAAACAAUAUUAUUUCCUAAAAACAAAUUUGCAGAGAAGCAUCAACGUACGAUGGCGUCAAACCAAUACAAAUCCAAACAAUAAUAUUAAUUAGCAGCAAACAGAACCAUCAUAUUCAUAUUGAGAGAGACAUGCAAUGAGUAAUAAUAUUAGGUUCGUUGGUUUCUGGCAUAGGCUUCUUUCGCCGGAAAGGGUUGUUAACGGAGAAGAGACUUGAAAAGCCAGAACUUUCGCCGGCCUCAGCCACCUCACCGGAGAAGAGAGUGGUGAAGAUCCCUGAUUGGGUCUGAAGUUCUUCAGCCUUUGCCUUCUUUGUUGUCUUCUUCCCCAUCCUCGUUCGAUUUCAAAGCGAAAGAGGAAGAGAGAGAUCGAUCAAAUCGAAAGAGGAAAAGAGAGAGCAAAGAACCCAUCUGAUCAAAUCUUUGACAAGUGAAAGUGAUGAUAUAAACGAAGAAGAAAAGGUAAAGCACAAACAAAAGUGACAUGGAGAGACAAAAUGUUUCAAUUGGUUUUCACAGUUUUUUCAUUUAUUGACAUGGCAGUCUCAUAAGCAUUUUAAAAUCUGAUGUGUCAUGCUUUGGAGAGAACCUUGUGCCAUUAUUGUGUUGAUUAGAUAAAUUGUAAGCUAAUUACUGAAGAAAUUACAAAAUUUAGUAUGGGGCAAGUGCCACACCUAAGUGCUCUCUACGUCCGUCCCUGAUUUUGAGUAAUGACACUUUUUAAGAUUACAUUUACACAUACAUGGUUUACCUAGAGAAUGGAACAAAAUGUGUAUAUGACUAUUAGUCUGUAUAUACCUAUGACAAAACACAAGCAAGCACAUACAUUAUUCAUAUGCCGUAAGUAUGCAUGCCUUAGCAUUACCUUUUUCAUAGAACCCCAAUAUACCAAACGCGGUUACCC